Molecule: ribosomal RNA, 255 nt
Filed under: uncultured bacterium
Lineage: Bacteria
Description: partial 16S ribosomal RNA
Rfam family: Bacterial small subunit ribosomal RNA
Source: RNAcentral
UACGUAGGGUGCAAGCGUUAUCCGGAAUUAUUGGGCGUAAAGAGCUCGUAGGCGGUUUUGUCGCGUCUGCUGUGAAAACCCGAGGCUCAACCUCGGGCCUGCAGUGGGUACGGGCAAACUAGAGUGCGGUAGGGGAGAUUGGAAUUCCUGGUGUAGCGGUGGAAUGCGCAGAUAUCAGGAGGAACACCGAUGGCGAAGGCAGAUCUCUGGGCAUGAUCUGACGCUGAGGAGCGAAAGUGUGGGGGAGCGAACAGG